GAUGAAGAACGCAGCGAAAUGCGAUAAGUAAUGCGAAUUGCAGAAUUCCAGUGAAUCAUCGAAUCUUUGAACGCACAUUGCGCCCCUUGGUAUUCCGAGGGGCAUGCCUAUUCGAGCGUCAUUAUCACCCCUCAAGCCUAGCUUGGUGUUGGGGCUUGCCGUCAAGGCAGCCUCUAAAAUCAGUGGCAGUGCUGUCAGGCUCUAAGCGUAGUAAUUUUUCUCGCUACAGAAACCUGGUGGACACUCGUCAGAACCCCCCCAUUUUUUAAUGAUUGACCUCGGAUUAGGUAGGGAUACCCGCUGAACUUAAGCAUAUCAAUAAGCGGAGGA
This 330-nucleotide unclassified non-coding RNA is filed under the name soil metagenome. RNAcentral describes it as "partial contains 5.8S ribosomal RNA, internal transcribed spacer 2, and large subunit ribosomal RNA". The stretch from base 1 to 121 matches the Rfam family "5.8S ribosomal RNA", at positions 35 to 154 of the family's 154-position model. The record is from RNAcentral.